Molecule: long non-coding RNA, 877 nt
Organism: Oncorhynchus keta (chum salmon)
Lineage: Eukaryota; Metazoa; Chordata; Actinopteri; Salmoniformes; Salmonidae
Exons: 3
Source: RefSeq, a predicted model, not a curated record
GAUGGUGGAACCCAGUGUUCUAGUAUUAAUGUAUUGAGGUAAACAGGUCAGAGAUGGUGGAACCCAGUGUUCUAGUAUUAAUGUAUUGAGGUAAACAGGUCAGAGAUGGUGGAACCCAGUGUUCUAGUAUUAAUGUAUUGAGGUAAACAGGUCAGAGAUGGUGGAACCCAGUGUUCUAGUAUUAAUGUAUUGAGGUAAACAGGUCAGAGAUGGUGGAACCCAGUGUUCUAGUAUUAAUGUAUUGAGGUAAACAGGUCAGAGAUGGUGGAACCCAGUGUUCUAGUAUUAAUGUAUUGAGGUAAACAGGUCAGAGAUGGUGGAACCCAGUGUUCUAGUAUUAAUGUAUUGAGGUAAACAGGUCAGAGAUGGUGGAACCCAGUGUUCUAGUAUUAAUGUAUUGAGGUAAACAGGUCAGAGAUGGUGGAACCCAGUGUUCUAGUAUUAAUGUAUUGAGGUAAACAGGUCAGAGAUGGUGGAACCCAGUGUUCUAGUAUUAAUGUAUUGAGGUAAACAGGUCAGAGAUGGUGGAACCCAGUGUUCUAGUAUUAAUGUAUUGAGGUAAACAGGUCAGAGAUGGUGGAACCCAGUGUUCUAGUAUUAAUGUAUUGAGGUAAACAGGUCAGAGAUGGUGGAACCCAGUGUUCUAGUAUUAAUAUAUUGAGGAAAACAGGUCAGAGAUGGUGGAACCCAGUGUUCUAGUAUUAAUGUAUUGAGGUAAACAGGUCAGAGAUAAUAAUAAUAUAUGCCAUUUAGCAGACGCUUUUAUCCAAAGCGACUUACAGUCAUGUGUGCAUACAUUCUACGUAUGGGUGGUCCCGGGAAUCGAACCCACUACCCUGGCGUUACAAGCGCCAUGCUCUACCAACUGUGCUACAGA